Long non-coding RNA from Oncorhynchus keta (chum salmon), 3203 nucleotides. RefSeq lists it as uncharacterized. The record is from RefSeq and is a predicted model, not a curated record. NCBI's taxonomy places the organism in Eukaryota, Metazoa, Chordata, Actinopteri, Salmoniformes, Salmonidae. The transcript is spliced from 2 exons.
UCGCUGUGUAUUAAACACACUUCUGUCGUAUGUACUUGUUGGCCCAUUUAAUUAUAUAUUUACGUUGUUUGUCAGCUAGCUGGUUUGCUAAAUUAGCUUAGGACUAGGCUAGUCGCGAAUGCUAGCUAGCUAACAUCCCCGACCAUGAGGUCACUUAGCUACUCUCCUCCUGCUAAAGAAGAGGCGGUCUGCUGGAAGGAGAAAGAAGGUCUCGUGGAAGAGGAGGAUGUUACAAUACAAAAACAAGUAGAAGGUGACGCUGUUACCGUGAAAGAAGAAGAGAAAGACGUUUCAGUGAAAGAAGAGGAAGAUGCGUUCAGAGUGAAAUAGGAGGAAGAGAAAAAGGGUGCAGUUUUUGGAGUGACGGAGGAGGAGGGGGAGAUGACUGUCACAUUGGAGGAAGAAGAGGAGGUUGGAGAUCGAGUGAACACCAGAGAGAUACGGGACAAUCGUGGAUCCUCUGGGGAGCCUCAACAACCUCAUGAAGCUGAAGAGGCAGAGAAGAGUCUCUCCAGAUCAGAACAUCUCAAUAAACACCUGCAAAGACCCACAGGGAAGAGAACUCACUGCUGCUCUGACUGUGGGAAGAGAUUCACCUCGUCAGGCAUUACAAUUCAUCAGAGAACACACACAGGAGAUACAUCUUAUAGCUGUGCUCAAUGUGGGAAGAGUUUUGGUCGAUCUUGCCAUCUGACUCAUCAUCUGAGAAUACACACAGGAGGGAAAUCUUACAGCUGUGAUCAAUGUGGGAAGAGUUUUACAACAUCUAGCACUCUAACUCUACACCAGAGAACACACACAGGAGAGAAACCUCAUAGCUGUGAUCAGUGUGACAAGAGAUACUCUGAUAAAAGAUCUCUGAUCAAACAUCAGAAAAUACAUGGAGUUAUUUCAUGAUAUUAAUUAAUUCAUGUCACAAUGUAGAAUGUUUUAACAUUGUAGUAGGAGUAUUUUAAUGAGGUCACAAUGUAGAAGCCUAAAUGUUUGUUCCCUGUUCUAUUGAUUUCAGCAUGAUAUGGAUUUUAGCCUCAGGGGAACAUCCAGGCUCUGAAUUGAAAGAGUACUAUUUAUAUGAUUUAACACAAAAAGAGUUGUGUUAUACUUACCAUGUUGGUGACACAUUUGAAUCAAAAUGCAACACUUCAAAAUGUAGCUAGCUGUUUUCUACAAGUUGUCCUCUAACCAGUGAUGUACACAUUAUUCCCAGAUUCCGUGUGGGUUUUGAGCUGUUAGUUUUAACAGGACAUGCAACCUCAUCUCCCUUCAUUCACUUAAUUGAUUUUAGCAUGAUAUCGAUGGGAUAUGACAAAUAAGUGUUGUGUUCCUUUGCUUAGCAACCCCUAUAUUUAAAUGCGUCGCUCCAAAAUAUAGCUGACUGUCUUCUGCAGGUUGUCCUCUAACCAGCGAGGUAAAAUAUCUUCCAUUUCCAUGUGUUUUGUUUAGUUGUGUUAGUUUCAACAGCAUGUACAACCUGAUUUCUGUUUCAGUAUGGUAUGUUAGAUAAAGGAAUAACGACAGACACCAAUGUCAGGUCCAAUAGCCUUGUUUGUGCAUUGUACGAAUCCCUACAACUGGAGUCCGGGGAACAGUCCGGCUUGUCGAUUACCUAUCAACUAGACUCUGUAACAAUUCCCCCCGAAUCGAUAUCAGGGAUUUAUUGCUACUUGUCUGAACAACAGUGGUUUUGGUGCUUGUGUCCAUGGCGAGGACAACUUGGUUUCUGAUUGUCUCAAGGUUGGACAGUAAAAAAAAAAAUUGUUUUUUGUUUAGCCAGUGCGUUCCAUUGAUCAAAUUAUUUUGACUUUCCGUAAUAGAGAUGAGUUUUGUUUGGGCUUGUUCCAAGGAGACGAGAGUUCUAGAAGCUAGUGAGUUUUGGGAAGACAAGAGUUCUAGAAGCUAGUGAGUUUUAGGAUUCUAUAGAAAUAAACAUGUUCUAGAAGCUAAUGGGGAAAAAAUACAUUUCUUGUUUUUAUUUGUUGACAGCCAGUAGACACCAUGUUUAUAUUGGUGAAGGUGAAGCAUUGUAGUUGAUAAUAAUGUGAAAUGGAAGUUGUUUUCUGUUCGCGGUGAGCAUUCUCUUCAGGUGUUAGUCUUUGGUUUUUCCAUUUGAGGUUGGACUUUAGCACGUACUGAUUGGUGUCACCUCGUUAGUCAGUAUGUGUUUCACCUGAGCUGGUCCAGGUUCUAUUUAAGAGUGUCUGGCCCAGUGCUCCAGUUGUCUUGAUAAUGUGGAAUGUCAGCAUCUUUAGUUGCUCCACCUUUUUUGAUUGAUUUCCUAUCUGUAAAUUUGGUGUGGGUUAUUAUUUUGUUUCCCUCUUCUUGGGCAGAUUUAGUGGGUCUCAUGGGUGUCUUUUAGGUCCCAGUUGUUGUUACUUGUCAACUUUCAGUGGACACUGUGAGAGCAAAACUGCAAGAUUAUGUUAUUAUACUUUUAUUGCAUCAAAUGGUUGUUUUAUGCAACAAAAUAGAGGGUGUCUGUGUUCUACUGAGGAUGGGCCUCUGGGAGAAAACACUGACAGGAGAUUUACAAUGUCUUUUAGGUGAUGAAACCUAAAGAGACCGCAUUCCAGAUCAUGAGUUAAUGUUUCUGUUAUAUAUGGUACCAGGGAGAGAUGACCCCAGGGCCAGACUCUGGUCUCUACACAAAGAGUACUGUUUUUACAGCAGAUACUUAUAAUUCUCAGCAGAUCGUAUCUUUCAUACCAAUCUUAACCUUGUGACCCAUUCUAUACAUCUGUUGUUCGCCAUGUAGGUUGAAAUAUAUCUUGGCUAUAAAAUACCUUUGUACUUUUGUUUGCAGUCUGUUCUGUGUUCCAUGUAGGACUAAAGAUCAAGACCACCCAGUGUUACAUCUUCCUUUUGGAACCAUUAUACAUUCAGGAUGUAACACAACAACAUGUGGGACAAGUCAAGGGGUGUGAAUACUUUCUGAAGGCACUGUAUAUAUAAAAUUACCCCUGUCCCCCCCCACCCAGCAAUCUAAUAGCAUCAGUCAGGCUCUAAUUGUUAAUAUUAUCAAUGGGUUUUCCUUAGAAUGCCCAUUAGUCUUUCAGUUGUUAUUCUUCUGUUUUUUUUGUAUGUUCCUUGUGGUAAAUAUUUCAGUUCAUUUUCAUUGUUUUUUUUAUUCGUUUUUUCCUGUGAAGCCAUUGUGUUGCAUCCAUGUCUGAAAUGUGCUGUAUAAAUAAAACUUGAUUUGAUUUCAA